Molecule: microRNA precursor, 186 nt
Filed under: Oryza brachyantha (malo sina)
Lineage: Eukaryota; Viridiplantae; Streptophyta; Magnoliopsida; Poales; Poaceae
Description: MIR812 microRNA precursor family
Rfam family: MIR812 microRNA precursor family
Source: Rfam by way of RNAcentral
CGUAAUAAUCUUAUUGUUUUUUCAUGUCCAAUGUUUAACCAUUCGUUUUAUUUAUAUUUUUUUACGAUUAAUAUUUUUAUUGUUACUGGAUGAUAAAAUAUGAAUGAUGCUAUAUAAGUAACUAUUUUUUAAGUUUUUUGCAAAUUUUUCAAAUAAAACGAAUGAUUAAAGGUCGGACAUGAAAAA